RNAcentral lists this ribosomal RNA (465 nucleotides) under uncultured bacterium. RNAcentral's name for it is "partial 16S ribosomal RNA". It matches the Rfam family "Bacterial small subunit ribosomal RNA", at positions 28 to 507 of the family's 1533-position model. The record is from RNAcentral.
GAUGAACGCUGGCGGCGUGCUUAACACAUGCAAGUCGAACGGAAAGGCCCUGCUUGCAGGGUACUCGAGUGGCGAACGGGUGAGUAACACGUGGGUGAUCUGCCCUGCACUUCGGGAUAAGCCUGGGAAACUGGGUCUAAUACCGGAUAGGAGCCAUUUUUAGUGUGAUGGUUGGAAAGUUUUUUCGGUGUAGGAUGAGCUCGCGGCCUAUCAGCUUGUUGGUGGGGUAAUGGCCUACCAAGGCGGCGACGGGUAGCCGGCCUGAGAGGGUGGACGGCCACAUUGGGACUGAGAUACGGCCCAGACUCCUACGGGAGGCAGCAGUGGGGAAUAUUGCACAAUGGGCGCAAGCCUGAUGCAGCGACGCCGCGUGGGGCAUGACGGCCUUCGGGUUGUAAACUCCUUUCGCUAGGGACGAAGCUUUUUGUGACGGUACCUAGAUAAGAAGCACCGGCUAACUACGUG